CAGAGUUCAUGCCCUUACGGGUAGAUCUCCCACCCUUUGUUAUCAUUACCUUUGUUGCUUUGGCGGGCCGCCAGGCCUCGGUCAGGCUACCGGCUCCGGCUGGUAAGCGCCCGCCAGAGGACCCCAAACUCUGAAUAUUAGUGUCGUCUGAGUACUAUAUAAUAGUUA
This 168-nucleotide unclassified non-coding RNA is filed under the name uncultured fungus. Its description in RNAcentral is "sequence contains ITS1, 5.8S rRNA gene". The record is from RNAcentral. Lineage: Eukaryota; Fungi.